UACCUGUCUCCCUGCGACAAUGUUUCCUUGCGGAGCGUCUCCUGCGCAGUGAGCUGCGUCUCUAUGUCCUCAGGCAGCUGCCCUGAUGGUCCUAGCUCCGAGGGCGCUCCGAAGCCCUAAGCUCAAGAUCAUUUAUUCUAGCGCAGUUCUAGAUAGAGCUGUAGAAUUCUAAGAACACAACUGAAGGAUUGUGCUGGAUCAGACCAAAGACUUAACUAGCUUAAUUGGAUGAUCUCUGGGAAUUUUAUGAUCAGUUUGGAAUCUGGGUUUGGAGCUGUUAGCAGAGCACUGAGCAGAAGCAGGUGACAUCAGGCAUGAGGCAAAGUAAGACAAAGACAACACUUAGGUAGAUUGUAGAAAUAGUUCUCUGCCCAGAGGACUGCUGGAAGGUGCUAACUUUUUGUUAUUGAGAGUGCUACAGAGAACACGUAGACAAUCAACAUACUAGCAUCAGAUAAACACCACCACCACAGAAUAAUGUGGAAAACCUGAGAAGACGGAAUGAGCCACAUCCUGUGAAUAUGCAGUCAGCAGAAUGAAGGUUAUAUCUUUAGCAAAAAUGUUCUGCAUAGAGCUCUGAAGAGGUGAAGAAUCUGUAUAAAGGGGAGAAACUACAAAUACUUGUUUCUUGUAGAGCAUCUCAUUUUGAGGAGCAGAUAUAGUGAAGAGCUGUGCAUUGUAACUGUGGAAAGCAAACGCACUGACUUCAGUCUGAUGGUAUUCUCACUGUUCUCUAACCAUGAUUGGGAAGCUGCAAUUACAAAUGCCAUUUAAAGCCAGCCUCUGCAGCCAUAUUUUCUGGAAGAGGGCCAAUCUGCUUUGUAAUACCAUUUUCCAACCCAUCUUCACUUAAAUGUUUACCUUGUAUUUCUACAUUUUUGCACAUGCCAGCUAUCCAAAAAGUA
Molecule: long non-coding RNA, 905 nt
Organism: Candoia aspera
Lineage: Eukaryota; Metazoa; Chordata; Lepidosauria; Squamata; Candoiidae
Exons: 3
Source: RefSeq, a predicted model, not a curated record